UACGUAGGGAGCAAGCGUUGUCCGGAUUCACUGGGUGUAAAGGGUGCGCAGGCGGGAGAGUAAGUCAGAGGUGAAAUCUCACAGCUUAACUGUGAAACUGCCUUUGAUACUGCUUUUCUUGAGUUCGGGAGAGGUUGAUGGAAUUCCAGGUGUAGCGGUGAAAUGUGUAGAUAUCUGGAAGAACACCAGUGGCGAAGGCGGUCAACUGGCCCGUAACUGACGCUCAGGCACGAAAGCGUGGGUAGCGAACAGG
Molecule: ribosomal RNA, 253 nt
Filed under: uncultured bacterium
Lineage: Bacteria
Description: partial 16S ribosomal RNA
Rfam family: Bacterial small subunit ribosomal RNA
Source: RNAcentral